RNAcentral lists this ribosomal RNA (377 nucleotides) under uncultured Methylibium sp. RNAcentral's name for it is "bacterial SSU rRNA". It matches the Rfam family "Bacterial small subunit ribosomal RNA", at positions 68 to 447 of the family's 1533-position model. Lineage: Bacteria; Pseudomonadati; Pseudomonadota; Betaproteobacteria; Burkholderiales; Sphaerotilaceae. The record is from RNAcentral.
GGCAGCACGGGAGCAAUCCUGGUGGCGAGUGGCGAACGGGUGAGUAAUACAUCGGAACGUGCCCAGUAGUGGGGGAUAACCCGGCGAAAGCCGGACUAAUACCGCAUACGACCUACGGGUGAAAGCGGGGGAUCGCAAGACCUCGCGCUAUCGGAGCGGCCGAUGUCAGAUUAGCUUGUUGGCGGGGUAAAAGCCCACCAAGGCGACGAUCUGUAGCUGGUCUGAGAGGACGACCAGCCACACUGGGACUGAGACACGGCCCAGACUCCUACGGGAGGCAGCAGUGGGGAAUUUUGGACAAUGGGCGCAAGCCUGAUCCAGCCAUGCCGCGUGCGGGAAGAAGGCCUUCGGGUUGUAAACCGCUUUUGUCAGGGAAG